GAACAAAAGCAGCAUCAGGAAGUGCUGGCUGCAUUCUCAGUGCUGAUUGUGCAGAAGGGCCUCAUAAUGGCAUCAAUAGUAGCUCAGAAGCACAGGGAUUUUUCUUCUCUAAAAAAUGUCUCAGAGUCAAGGAAAACUUAAUGCUUGAUAUUCUCCAGGUCCUGCAGCCUGCCUUUUCCAGGCAUCAUUGGUAACUCCUAUUAUUUUUGUAGGCAGAAUUUCGUGGAAAAUAUUUCAUUUUGCUUUCCUAAUAUGUAUAUUUUUGACAACCUCAGUGAGCCAGAAUUAGAUAAAACAGAACUUUGAGUUCAGUGGCUUUGUUUUUGCUUUUAGCUAUCUAUGCAUCUUGGGAUGAAGAGAAAGUCUUGGCAAAAACGCACAAUUUGGUUCUACAUAAUACAACACAGUAUACAUGUACAUGCACAUUGAAACGACUGAUGGAGCUUGGCAGAAGUAUUUGCAACCUGAAGACAAUAAUGAUCAUUUUCCUAAGAAAAAAAACCAACAACAGAUUUUGCUGUACUCCAGCAGAGCUGAGAUGCAAGACCAAGACUGCCUUUAAUUGCUUGGCUUGUGUCAAAAUCUGAUGACUAUUUUGGGGAAUGAAAGAAGGGGAGAAAAAGUAAAAGGUUUCUUUUGGAGAUGGAGUCUCAGUAGCUUCCAGAAGAGUUCAAGGGGAUCCAUGUUUAAUGAAGUGUCUCCUCCAGCUUGCACUCAGCAGGCACUAGAAGAGCGAUGCCGGGGCGGACAAGCCCACCUCCCCAGCAGCAGUCCCGUUGUCUCUGCACUGACACAUCAGCAUUGCUACCACACUGUCUCUCUGCUGGGCUGGGAACAGCCAGCUUCAACCUGCUGCCUUGUUUACUAA
RNAcentral lists this long non-coding RNA (868 nucleotides) under Callithrix jacchus (white-tufted-ear marmoset). RNAcentral's name for it is "lncRNA (ENSCJAG00000086011.1)". The record is from RNAcentral. Lineage: Eukaryota; Metazoa; Chordata; Mammalia; Primates; Cebidae.